Non-coding RNA from Chelonoidis abingdonii (Abingdon island giant tortoise), 123 nucleotides. The record is from RefSeq and is a predicted model, not a curated record. NCBI's taxonomy places the organism in Eukaryota, Metazoa, Chordata, Testudines, Testudinidae.
GGCACAGCUGGCGAGCCACUGACAGACUUGCCAGAAACAGACAGGAGUGGAGGAGCUUUGUCCCUGUCCUAAACGCCAGAGGCAUAAUGGGGACAUGAUGAGGUUGAUGAAAUUAAUAACAAU